UUAGUUUGAUCCUGGCUCAGGACGAACGCGGGCGGCGUGCCUAACACAUGCAAGUCGAGCGGGGCUGACAGCAGUUAGCUUGCUAACAGCAGUCAACCCAGCGGCGGACGGGUGAGUAACGCGUGAGCAACCAACUUUGUACAGGGGGAUAACAGGUGGAAACACCUGCUAAUACCGCAUAAGACCCCCGGCACUGCAUGGUGCUGAGGUAAAAGGAGGAAACUCCGGUACGAGACGGGCUCGCGUCCCAUUAGCCGGUUGGUGGGGUGACGGCCUACCAAGGCGACGAUGGGUAGCCGGCCUGAGAGGGUGUACGGCCACACUGGGACUGAGACACGGCCCAGACUCCUACGGGAGGCAGCAGUGGGGGAUAUUGCGCAAUGGGGGGAACCCUGACGCAGCGACGCCGCGUGAGCGAAGAAGGCCUUCGGGUCGUAAAGCUCUGUCUUUGGGGAAGAAUAAGAUGACGGUACCCAAGGAGGAAGCCCCGGCUAACUACGUGCCAGCAGCCGCGGUAACACGUAGGGGGCGAGCGUUGUCCGGAAUUACUGGGCAUAAAGGGUGCGUAGGCGGCCUUAUAAGUCAUGUGUGAAAAACCCGGGCUCAACCCGGGUAUUGCAAGUGAAACUAUAGGGCUUGAGUGCAGGAGAGGGAAGUGGAAUUCCUAGUGUAGCGGUGAAAUGCGUAGAGAUUAGGAGGAACACCAGUGGCGAAGGCGGCUUCCUGGACUGCAACUGACGCUGAGGCACGAAAGCGUGGGGAGCAAACAGGAUUAGAUACCCUGGUAGUCCACGCCGUAAACGCUGGAUACUAGGUGUAGGUACCGAUGAGGUAUCUGUGCCGUAGUUAACGCAAUAAGUAUCCCGCCUGGGGAGUACGGCCGCAAGGCUGAAACUCAAAGGAAUUGACGG
This 911-nucleotide ribosomal RNA is filed under the name uncultured bacterium. Its description in RNAcentral is "bacterial SSU rRNA". It matches the Rfam family "Bacterial small subunit ribosomal RNA", at positions 1 to 916 of the family's 1533-position model. The record is from RNAcentral.